GUUAUGAAACAAGAGAAGGACUUAAUGUCACGGUACCCAAUUUUCUGCCCCGGACUCCACGGCUGUUACUAGAGGUUAUGAAACAAGAGAAGGACUUAAUGUCACGGUAC
RNAcentral lists this unclassified non-coding RNA (110 nucleotides) under Candidatus Scalindua brodae. RNAcentral describes it as "crRNA from Candidatus Scalindua brodae (PDB 7Y80, chain B)". The record is from RNAcentral. Lineage: Bacteria; Pseudomonadati; Planctomycetota; Candidatus Brocadiia; Candidatus Brocadiales; Candidatus Scalinduaceae.